RNAcentral lists this transfer RNA (69 nucleotides) under Podarcis lilfordi (Lilford's wall lizard). RNAcentral describes it as "tRNA.Met". The stretch from base 3 to 61 matches the Rfam family "tRNA", at positions 8 to 63 of the family's 71-position model. From Rfam's summary of the family: Transfer RNA (tRNA) molecules are approximately 80 nucleotides in length. Their secondary structure includes four short double-helical elements and three loops (D, anti-codon, and T loops). Lineage: Eukaryota; Metazoa; Chordata; Lepidosauria; Squamata; Lacertidae. The record is from RNAcentral.
GAUAGCUCAGUUGGUUAGAGUGCGGUGCUCAUAAUGCCAAGGUUGCAGGUUUGAUCCCUGUAAGAGACA